RNAcentral lists this ribosomal RNA (454 nucleotides) under uncultured Geobacillus sp. RNAcentral describes it as "bacterial SSU rRNA". It matches the Rfam family "Bacterial small subunit ribosomal RNA", at positions 929 to 1382 of the family's 1533-position model. The record is from RNAcentral. Lineage: Bacteria; Bacillati; Bacillota; Bacilli; Caryophanales; Anoxybacillaceae.
GCGGUGGAGCAUGUGGUUUAAUUCGAAGCAACGCGAAGAACCUUACCAGGUCUUGACAUCCCCUGACAACCCGAGAGAUCGGGCGUCCCCCUCGGGGGGACAGGGUGGCAGGUGGUGCAUGGUUGUCGUCAGCUCGUGUCGUGAGAUGUUGGGUUAAGUCCCGCAACGAGCGCAACCCUCGCCUCUAGUUGCCAGCAUUCGGUUGGGCACUCUAGAGGGACUGCCGGCGACAAGUCGGAGGAAGGUGGGGAUGACGUCAAAUCAUCAUGCCCCUUAUGACCUGGGCUACACACGUGCUACAAUGGGCGGUACAAAGGGCUGCGAACCCGCGAGGGGGAGCGAAUCCCAAAAAGCCGCUCUCAGUUCGGAUUGCAGGCUGCAACUCGCCUGCAUGAAGCCGGAAUCGCUAGUAAUCGCGGAUCAGCAUGCCGCGGUGAAUACGUUCCCGGGCCUU